CAUCCGACAAGCGACUGGAACGGGAAGGAAGCCGAGCAAACGCGGACGGCGGCACCGAAGGACAGGGGAGUGUCAGAGAAAGGGGCGUGUUCAAAAGGACAACCUGGCAAAGACCCCUCCCCUCUCGGCCUGCAAGGCAUUAACGUUUUCAGAUUGCUACAAGAAGCACCACCAAAUCCAAGUCUGAAGAUGUAAUGGAAUUCUCACUUCCACUAAAUUCCAUCCCACAUGUGGCUUGGCUUGUUCUGUGCUGGAAUAUUGGACUCAUUAUGAGGAUAUGGACAUGGCACAGAUGAAAAUGAGGAAGAUGCUCCGCCAAAAGGUGUCAUACCAGAUGACCCACCAAAAGGAGUCACAGAAUGGCUGUUAAAAUUAACUGAUGAUCCCUUUGCUGCAGCAGG
This is a long non-coding RNA of Hemicordylus capensis (graceful crag lizard), 401 nucleotides long. RefSeq lists it as uncharacterized. The transcript is spliced from 3 exons. NCBI's taxonomy places the organism in Eukaryota, Metazoa, Chordata, Lepidosauria, Squamata, Cordylidae. The record is from RefSeq and is a predicted model, not a curated record.